GCAGCAGUAAAACGGCUCAGAGGUAGAACGCCCGGCUCAUCCGGGUGGGCGCCGGUUCGAGCCCGGCCGGCGGGCUCA
Molecule: transfer RNA, 78 nt
Filed under: Microbispora sp. GKU 823
Lineage: Bacteria; Bacillati; Actinomycetota; Actinomycetes; Streptosporangiales; Streptosporangiaceae
Description: tRNA-Sec
Source: RNAcentral